Molecule: long non-coding RNA, 427 nt
Organism: Sander lucioperca (pikeperch)
Lineage: Eukaryota; Metazoa; Chordata; Actinopteri; Perciformes; Percidae
Exons: 2
Source: RefSeq, a predicted model, not a curated record
GGAGAGAGGACUACGAUUUGAGACAAAAAUGAAAACACGCUGAAACCAUGCAGCAACUCAUAGUGCACCUUUAAAAGAAGUAAAAUCUGCAGAUGGUCACCUUUAAAUUUAACUUGGAGAAGCCUGAAGGUAGCCUGAGCUUCCUCUGUAACUUAGUGAAACAUUUCUGCUUUGAAGAAAUGUUUCUGCGUUGAAACUGAAUCCAGUAACUAGUUUCCAACGUUACAUUCAAGACAUUCGGUGGGUUAACAGUAGCCUGACAUGGGUUAGGGUUAGGGGGAGUCUAGAUUUCUAGGCUAGGGUAACAGUAUGACGCAGACAACAGGAGAAUCUCAGCUGUAAAUGUAGCGUGAUUCCCGUCAGGUACCAGGGACUGGAUGGAUGAGUCUUUCCUUGAGUAAGAGUUGCAAUAAGACAAAUGUAAAAA